GUCUAUUUGAAGAUAUAAAAAGUCUAGCCUGCUCACUGAUAUUGUUUUUAAGAGCCGCGGUAUUUCUGACUGUGCAAAGGUAGCAUAAUCGUUAGUUUUUUAAUUGAAAUCUUGUAUGAAUGGUUUUACAAAAAAAUAACUGUCUUUAUAAUUAUUAAUUGAAUUUAACUUUUAAGUGAAAAGGCUUAAAUAAAUUAAAAAGACGAUAAGACCCUAUAAAGCUUAAUAUUAAUUUUUAUUUAAUAAAAUUUUAUAUAAUAUAAAUAUUUGGUAAAACUUUUUUAUUUUAUUGGGGUGAUAAUGGUAAAAUGAUUAAUAACUGUUAAUUUUAUUAAAACAAAAAUAAAUGAAUAAUAAAUUUUAUUUAAUAAAUGAUCCUAUUUAAAGAUUUAAAGUUU
Molecule: ribosomal RNA, 398 nt
Filed under: Parasesarma lanchesteri
Lineage: Eukaryota; Metazoa; Arthropoda; Malacostraca; Decapoda; Sesarmidae
Description: partial 16S ribosomal RNA
Source: RNAcentral